UUAGGCGCUCGCUGUAUUAAAAAUUCUCAGAAUUUUAGGGUUAGGUUUAGGGUUUUGAUGCACCCACUUUUAGGGUUUCAUGAAAGAUCUAUUCGUCAUAAAUAUGUCAUUUCAACAAUUGAAGAUUCAUUCUGAUCGAUGAAGGCUAGAGGAGUAUAGCGAUAUGGGAAAUUGCCCUUAGGGUAACUUGAUGCUUAGUUCUAUUUUACUAAUUUUAUUGUCAUCUGGAUAGAUGCUUGUAAGCCCUGAUUCGUAGUUGGGAGUAAGAGAUUACGGUUAAGUUCAUUCUGAUAACGUAAGAAGAACGAAAAUUAACUCAUCUCCCAACAGUGAAGAGGCGUUUAAAGCCUGUUGCAGUAUUAUACAUGGCAUCAGGGUUUCGCGCGAUUCAAUAACAGGUUUUUGUCUAUGUUGUUAUUAAGCUACUAUUUUUCAUUUGAUUGAAUGGUUUCAAGAACAUUUAUAUUUAGUUUUGAAGGAGCGAUGAUUAUAAAGAAAUUCCUCGUUCUGAAUGCUAAGGCAUGAUAGACUUCUUAUCACCCAUAGAAUAUGAGCUCCAACCUUAUUUAUUUUAGUUUUCUAGCGUGUUUUUUUCUUUCUUUUACUUGUUUGAGGAUAUUUAUUUAAGUUCAAAGUAUUCCUUCAUACAAAGGGUAUCUCAAUCAUUUCAAAUUUGUUUCUUAUAUAUAUGCCUUAAUCUGAAAUUUUAAGUGAUUUGUUUCUUAAAAUAACUUCAAAGCUUUAGGCUAAAUUCCUUGGCAAUUCAUUUGUCCGUGCCUAAAUUUGAUGGUUGAUGUAGUCUCCUAAGUUUUUCUGAUGCUGUCUGAAAAUACAUCAUGUGUCUGAUUAUAAGAUUAGAAUAAUAUGUGUGUGACUAUUAAUGUGUCUGGAAAUACAAUAUUAUGGCCCGGACCAUGGAUGAAUAAAGGAAUAUGACUUUGCAAGGGGCAUUAGAGCUCACUUUGGAGUAUUUAGUGUGAUCUCACGGGGACGAAAUAAUUUUUUUAUCAGCUAAUUAAUCCUCAGAAGACAUGGAGUAAGGGAGUGUCUACACUAGAGAAGAUAAUUCCAAAAUCUGUCUUUUGUGUUACAAUAAUCUUUUCCCAGGAGGAAUACUAUCCAUGAUAAAGGAAUGCAAGUUUGCCAGGGAUCGUAGACGUUGGAUUGGAGUAUCUAGAGUGUGAUCAUAAGGGUAUGAAAUAAACAUUUCAUUUUGCUAAUUAUAUCUCAGAAGGAAUGGAGUAGAGGAGUCUUCACAGUGUGCGCUAGAAAAUGUAAUACUAAAUUCAUGUCAACAGUCCAAGUCUUGAGAAGACAGUGGUUUACAAUUAGUAGCAGCAUGGUCUCUAUCAUACCAUCCUAAAUCUGAGAAAAAGCUAUAAGGGAGAAAAUAAGAAUCGAUCCCAAUUCAAGGAAGGAGUUUUGAAAGCUUGACUCAUAUCGGCAGCAUUUCAGGUGGUGUCGAAGUGUUUAAAUCAUGAAAACCAAGGCUUCAUGAGGAUGCACGCUUCCUCCAAGUCCAACCCUGACCAUUAAGAAUAAAAUCCGUAUCCUUAAAAUUCAAACGCUGCAAAAAAUUAUUUUACUCAAUGGCUUAAUUUUAAGAGGGCUCUGUAUUGAACCAAGUUACUUGACAUCCAUUUGUGCAUAUGAAAUACGAGGUCUGAAGUGGUUGAGUGAUAUGUCAAUUCAUUUUUCAGAGGUUUCGGGAUCUUUCCUGCAGUAGGGGUCUUGUAAAGAAAGAAAUCUUAUGUUACUCUUAGUACUUUUUCCUACCUUUCUACGAUUUGUCAAUCUCUGAGUUUUUUAUAUUUAUUAUUAUUGUAUCUUUAAGCAUAAACCAACCAUUUUUAAAAUAAGUCUAAAAUUUCAAAUCAUUCUGAAAUAUUGUAGGAAGGCUCCCACUAUGAAAUGCUGCCUUGAGUACCAUCAUAAAUAUUAUCUCCUUACAAUGUUUGGUACAUUACGUCUACUACAGAGGAUGGCUUCGGAGCAUUUCAGAAGUUUUAAUUCUUCCCUGAUAUUAGCCGGAAGGCCCUCUUUGUUAAAAGCAACUGCAUCAUUAAAGCCUAUUGGUUGGCCACUCGUAGAGACACAGCAGAAGCGAAGGACGUAUUAGGGUUAUGCGAUGGGAGCCGUCGUAAAAAUGCACAAAAUCUUGUUCGCUUCAUGACAUUCUGGAAGCUCUGGGCAAUAGGUGUCUUCAAAUGUCGGAAAGCGGAUGAAAGAGUGUUUUGACGGGGAAUUUUGGGAUAUUUACUAUUGAAUUUUUUUUAUGUUACAACAGUUUAGUUAAAACAAUUUAUCAUUUUUUUUGAAGAAUUUUUGACUUAGCUGCUCCCUUACAUUUAGCUACGACUAACGUAACCUUUUCAUUGGAACUACAAAGGGGACAGAUUAAUUAGGUUUAAGAUUGUUUAGAUAGGGAACUUUGGAUUGAUGGGCUACAACUAACGUAAUCAUUGUUUUGUUCAAAUAAUGGGCUACGACUAACGUAUCUGUUUCAGUGGAACUACAAAGGCAACAGACAGUAGGUUUAAGGUUGUUUAGAUAGGGAAUGUUGGAUUUAUGUGUUUUAUCAUUCCUUCAUGUUAUAGGAUAAGUCAACUUCUUGACCCACCUGGCAUAACAUCCAACUUAGUGUUAUCUAAUGGUCAAUUUUUAUCAAUUCUAGUUAAGAAUGAAAAUAAAAUGGAAAGUAAAAAUCUUAAAAGAGUUAAGAACUAGAAUUAGAUGGAUAAUGUUUAAAGAAGAGUGGGCAGAUGGAAGGUGUUUUGCAGAUUUCUUGAUUAAGAUCCAAGACAUUAAAGGUGAACAUUUUGAGUAAUUUGUUUGAUCAAGAAAAGAUAACAAAAAUUGCAGAUUUCUUGAUUAAGAUCCAAAACAUUAAAGGUGAACAUUUUGAGUAAUUUGGUUGAUUGAGAAAGGUGAACAUUUUGAGUAAUUUGGUUGAUCAAGAAAAGAUAACAAGGUUGAUCAAGAAAAGAUAACAAAGAUUUCAAAAUUGCAGAGACAUUGCAGAUUUCUUGAUUAAGAUCUAGGACAUUAAAGGUGAACGUUUUGAGUAGUUUGUUUGAUCAAGAAAAGAUAACAAAAUUGCAGAUUUCUUGAUUAAGGUCCAAGACAUUACAGGUGAACAUUUCGAGUAAUUCGGUUGAUCAAGAAAAGAUAAGAUUUCUUGAUUAAGAUCCACAUUAGAAAAUUCAAGAUGCAGAAGAAAUUUGGUAGAAAUUUGGUAGUCUCAUGAAUAUGGUACAUUUGUUUAGAUAUAAUGUAACUAUGGUUAGUAUAAUUUGAAUGAAAGGUGGGAUGGACAUUAUGGAUAUAUUAAUUCACCCUCUUCAUUUGGGGAUGAGUUGUAAAUGUCCACCUAAUAACAAACAGGUGACAUGAGCUCGAUGCUUAUCUUUUACAAAGUAGCAGUGGAUGAGUUGUAAAUGUACCCCUAAUAACAAAGAGGUUACAUGAGCUCGAUGCUUAUCUUUUACUAAGUAGGUAGAAAUUUUAAAUUUAGCUCAUACCGGGUUUAAGUAUUUGCAUCUCCUAGUAUUUGGUUACCAAUAUUGAAAUGUGUCGCAAGCAUUAAUCAGAUUUGUCUGGAAAUGUUUAACUGUGUAGAUUUGCUAUGCCAUUUGGUAUGUUGUAUGAAAUUUUUAAAGUACACCUUGAUCUGACAUGCAAUUUUUUUUAAAUAGAAUUUGGUGUGCUGGAACUUUUAAUGCAUUUUGACUAGAGAAGGAUGAAGGUAGUUUCUAAUCGUUGACAGAUUAGAAUAGAUUUGGGAAAGGGAGUUUGUUUUGAGAUUAUAAUAGAAAUGUUUGAAUUUGCCUUAUUAUACAUCGCCUUCACCAUUGCAUCGACUUCACCAUUGCAACGCCUCCUCUAAAUGAAACGAUUCGGCAUACUUUCUGAAAAAAUGGCUAUAUGAACGGAAAAAAAACCCAAAGUGUCCGAGUGCAAAACAGUACGACAUGGGAGGGAUUUCGUUCGUGUGGCCAUUUUUUCUAACAAUAUGCAAUCGGUUUCUCGCGACACAAUCGGUUUCUCGCGACGCAAUCUGUCAGUAUUCUUCAUCUCCAAGUGAGUUUCUUUAUAUUUCAUUUACUUUAUGUAUGUUUUGAGUGAUUUUAAUGCAGAUUGUAGUGAGUUGUAACUGCGUGUUGAUUUGUUGCAGAUGGUCACAGGUUAUGGAAAUUCUUCAGAAGAAGAUUCUCGACAAACUAUCAUCAAAUGCAAUUGACCAGUUUAAAAGGUAGAUAACUUAGGGGCCUUUUCUUGGUAUGGUUGUCAUGGAAGUUCUUCUGAAGAUUCUUGACAAAUUAUCGAUCAAAUGCAAUCGACCAGUUUAAAAGGUAGAUAAAUUAGGGGGUUUUUCUAAUGUGUUCUUCAUUGUCGACUGUAUUUCUAGAAGACUAAUCGUUCAGUUUUUGUUCAGAUGUAAUCGGGAAAAUGGAUAUUUUUUCAAAUAAGUACGCAGAAUUCUAGCAUACAUUAACAGAUUCGUAAUGGAAAGCUUCUCGUAAGGUAGUUUCUUUGCUUCCAGAUUAGAAUAGAGUUGGGAAAGAGAGUUCUUUUCUUGAUUAGAGAAGGACCAAGGUAGAUUCUAAAUUGUUUUGAGACUAGAAUAGAGUUGGGAAACGGGGUUUGUUUUUAGAUUAGAAUAAGGUCGGGAAAGGGACAUUGUAGAAAUGUUUUGAAUUUGUAGACUUGAUCUAGUACUUUGCAUGAACGACUAUUUUCGACUAUUUUCUUCGAUUCACUUUAGAUGCCCCUGUUUGUGUUGUCAUUUUAUAUCAUUUCAAUGGAUAUACACCUAUUGUAUUCCCUUUUAACCGUUGCCUGAUCUUGUUCCAAGUGAUGACACGCCAUUGAUUUGAGAUGCAAUUCGUCUUCAUUUUAUUGAUCAAGAUUCACAGUAUUUCACAAGAUUGCUGGCUGGUUUUAUUGAUCGAGAUUCACAAUAAGACUGACAAAUGUGGACAUCAUUAAAACUCAUUUAUUGGAUUGUUUUGUUGUCUGGUUUGUAUUUUGACAAUAAGACUGACAAAUGUGGACAUCAUUAAAACUCAAUUCAUUCAUUUAUUGGAUUGUUUUGUUGUCUGGUUUGUAUUUUGAGAAUAGCUUUUUGUUUUUAUGUGAAUACGUUUGAUUGUUGUCUGUUCAACCACCUUUUUAUUGUAUCCAUGUGGGCUGGGGAGGUAGACAUUUUGUUUGGUCACAGUUGAAAAUUUAUAGAGGCUAUUGAAAAGGGGUUUGGUAAAUUCCAACUUUUUUGGUUUGGUAUGGUGUGAGUAUGUUUGAUUGUUGUCCGUUCAACGGUGGACAUUGGAGAUACACUUGGUUGGGAAGCAGACAUGUUUUUUGGUCACAGCUGAAAAUUUAUAGAGGCUGUGUUGGAAGGAUAAAUUACAUCUUCUUUGGGUCAGUAUGGUGUGAGUAUGUUUGAUUGUUGUGCGUUAAACAACCUUUUUGUUUAGAGAUGUGGACAUUGGGGAUCCACGUGGCUUGGGAAGACUUUUUUGGUCAUGGGUUGGAGUUUAGUGAUCUACGUGGCUAGGAGGGAGACUAUUAUGGUCACGACUGAAUAUUUUUAGAGGCUAUCGGAAGGAGCUUGAUGAAUUCCAAGUUAAUGGCUUCUUCACAUCGUCUUUAAUUUUCGAACUCCUCAAUUAUCUAAUUUGUUUCAUGUGUUCUAUAAGCAAAAGCAUACGAGUGAUUUUGUGAAAUUAUGUUUCUACCUUUUAUCUAGUUAUUGAUGAGGUCCACACGUUUGUUCAAACUUCUCGUAGUAUCGCUUUAUUUUUAUUUAUUUAUUUACUGCUCAAUGUUGCAUAGCAUCUUUGCAUUUGCUCGCGUAUGCACAUUAUUGGGCCUUGUUUUUUAGAACGAAAAUAACUUUCUAUGUGCUCAAAUCUUUCAGGGAUUGUGAAAAAUAAUUUUUAUACGCUGCCUUGAAGUUCGUUUUGAUGCCGAGCAUAUUGUCAAACAGUUGUUCACUUUGUCUCACUCCAAUUAGCAGGCUUUUCGGCAUUGGCUGCUCCUUACGCUUCCCCAAACGAAACUAUUUUGCAUGCUUUUUGGAAAAAAUGGCUAUAUGAACAGAAGUCCGCCGUAUCGUCUGGCUCGUCUCUAAUGGAGAAAAAUACCGAAACUAUUUUGCAUGCUUUUUUGAAAAAAUGGCUAUAUGAAUGGAAGUCCGCCGUAUCCGUGGUAUCGUCUUUUGUGGCAACGUCUCUCUAAUGGAAAAAACUCCAAAGGGUUUCUAACUGCAAAACACUGCGAUACGGGCGACCAUCACUUCUCAAUUCGUGAGCCAUUGUCAGGGCUUUUGUUCAUGUAGUCAUUUUUUCAAACAAGUAUACAAUCCGUUUCUCGCGACACAAUCCGUCGACACAAUCCGUCGCACUCUUUCCUUCUCCAAAUGGUCACAGAGUACAGUAGUCAUGGAAGUUCUUCAGAAGAUUUUUUUGAGGAUACCUCGGGGAUGACAAACUAUCAACUGCAACAUCGACGAGUUGGAAGGCAGAUAAAUUAGUGGUUUUCUCUAAUGUGUUCUUCAUUGUCGAUUGUAUUUCUACAGGACUAAUUCAAUUUCUGUUUAGAUGUAUUCUAGAAAAUGUUUUGACGAGGUAGUCUGAUUUUGCAAAGGCCACAUCGACGAGUUUGGAAGGCAGAUAAAUUAGUGGUUUUCUCUUAAAUGUGUUCUUCAUUGUCGAUUGUAUUUCUACAGAACUAAUCAUUCAGUUUCUGUUAUGUAUUCUAGAAAAUGUUUUGACGAGGUAGUGUGUGAUUCUGCAAGGGCGAUUUUUAGGAUACAUUUUAGAAACGUAGUAGUAAGGCUCUGUUGCACGUUUCAACAGCCUAAAUGCCGUUGUUACCCUCAGUAACGGCCGUAUCCCACGCCACCAUCAUGUUUUGAAAGGAGUCGUGUUGCCUUAAACUCUUAGGUUUCUGGUUUUUUUUUUCAUUUUCUGACACGUUUCUUUGUUUUGGUAUUUUCGUAAACAGUAUUUUAUUUCCUGAUUUCCUGAUUUCCUGAUUUAAGUGUUACGGAGGUGCAAGGUUCAACAUGCAAGAUUGUAGACCAUUGUGUGUUCCUUCCCAUCCAGAAGUAGAUUUUUUGUUGAGAAACUAAAGGAAGGUGGUUGAAGAAGUUUCACCGGACCAUCGAAGAUAGGUUUAAUUCAGGUCACCUUCACUAUAGAUAGUUUACUGGAUAGCCAAUCAGUAUUCUCCAUGCCCUCUUUCUCACAGAAAAAAAUGGAAUAUAGUUGGAUGGGUGGGAUCCAUAUUAUCCGUUUCUUGGUCCUAUAGUUGAAACGAAAUUAUUUGUUGCAAAUAAUUAUUUUUUGCAAAUUGUCUUACAUCCUCACUGGAGAUGGAAGAUGAGUAGAAUGCCUAACCAGAGUGCAGUUGAAAGGGUUUUUGCCAUGUAAAUCUCUCUAUGUUAUAUGAAUGUUAUUAUUAUGUUUAUUUC
Molecule: long non-coding RNA, 7477 nt
Organism: Cryptomeria japonica (Japanese cedar)
Lineage: Eukaryota; Viridiplantae; Streptophyta; Pinopsida; Cupressales; Cupressaceae
Exons: 2
Source: RefSeq, a predicted model, not a curated record